CACCGCGGUUAUACGAGAGGCCCAAGUUGAUGAAAAGCGGCGUAAAGAGUGGUUAGGGAAACGUUAAAACUAAAGCCGAAUACCCUCAAGGCCGUUAUACGCCUCCUCGACGGUACGAAGACCAACUACGAAAGUGGCUUUGCCAGACCUGACCCCACGAAAGCUGAGGAA
Molecule: ribosomal RNA, 171 nt
Filed under: Tosarhombus octoculatus
Lineage: Eukaryota; Metazoa; Chordata; Actinopteri; Pleuronectiformes; Bothidae
Description: partial 12S rRNA
Source: RNAcentral